GACGAACGCUGGCGGCGUGCUUAACACAUGCAAGUCGGACGAUGAAGAAGAGACACGCGAACUUCGGUUCAAAUUUCACUUCGGAUUAGUGGCAGACGGGUGAGUAACGCGUGAGCAACCUACCUCUUACAAAGGGAUAGCCUCGGGAAACCGUGAUUAAUACCAUAUGACACAUUCAUAAGGCAUCUUAAGAAUGUUAAAGCUACGGCGGUAAGAGAUGGGCUCGCGUCCCAUUAGCUAGUUGGUGAGGUAACGGCCCACCAAGGCGACGAUGGGUAACCGGCCUGAGAGGGUGAACGGUCACAUUGGAACUGAGACACGGUCCAAACUCCUACGGGAGGCAGCAGUGGGGAAUAUUGCACAAUGGAGGGAACUCUGAUGCAGCGACGCCGCGUGAGCGAUGAAGGAAUUCGUUUCGUAAAGCUCUGUUCUAUGGGAAGAAAAGGACUGUACCAUAGGAGAAAGCCCCGGCUAAAUACGUG
RNAcentral lists this ribosomal RNA (482 nucleotides) under uncultured bacterium. Its description in RNAcentral is "partial 16S ribosomal RNA". It matches the Rfam family "Bacterial small subunit ribosomal RNA", at positions 28 to 507 of the family's 1533-position model. The record is from RNAcentral.